This is a non-coding RNA of Drosophila suzukii, 740 nucleotides long. The record is from RefSeq and is a predicted model, not a curated record. Lineage: Eukaryota; Metazoa; Arthropoda; Insecta; Diptera; Drosophilidae.
GCACGGAAUGCGUGAUAAGCAAUAACCUGUGUUCGGGUUUUUUAUUUUCGACUAAAAGACGAAUUUAAAUUUGUAGCAAGAAACUGAACACACAAAAUUGCGGCCAGCUCGGUAAGGUGCUCUGCCAUACAAACCCAAAGAUUUCAAAAGCGGUAUGGAUGGGAUAAGGGUGGAAGGGUGAGGGAAGGUACAAUCACCAAGUACAAUACACAAUCGAGAUCCAGCAUAAAAAGUUGCGAAUAUAAAACAAAAGUGUCACUUGCCGAGGGUCUGGAGGUACCAGACGAUGUCCGAGGUUGAGCUUGCAUUGUUAUUCCCUUUGUCGUUGGCUUGGUUUGUGUUGAUUCGUUUUUAGGAGUAUUUAUUCAUGUAUGUGUAUAUAUGUGGCCAUUUGAUUCCGCCGGAGCCCCACAAUCAUUCAUUUCGGUAAGAUCAAUGAAUCGAUACGAUAUACCUGGGGAGACAGAGAACUGCGACAAAAAGAAAUCCAGAAGGCGAAAGCUAAGCGGUAUGAGUUCCCGGGAUCGAGACGAGAUCAAAAAGUUUCAGUUGAUGAACUGUUUUCAAAAUUUACGAAGGAGUACAGAAAGAAACCAAUAAAUUUACUUUUUAGCCUUCAUUAAAAUUGUCGCCGAUUGUUUUCGCCGCAUGAAUAUGUUAAUUGCAAGAUCAUCAAACGUACAUACAUAUAUCUGUAUGCAUAGGAAAAAAUCGGUCUUAGCAAGGUAACAACUGCCACU